UACAUACAAAUAUAAAAUAAAUAUACUCUGGUCAACCUUGAAACACUUGUGCUAGAAAAGCUGAGUUUGGAUGAAAAGUUAUAUGAAGUUCCCGGGGUAGUUUGUCUAUUAAAUAUUUUGCAUAGUAGUUAUAUUAUGUGCCCAUUUUUUUAAGAUAAAAAAAAUACAGUUUCUCCAUUCCAUAGGGGUAGUUCCCUGUGAGUAUUGUAACAAAGCACUGUCACCCUGUGGCUCAUAGCACUAGAAACUGAUUCAUUCACAGUGUUGGAGUCAAAAAGCCUCGAAUCAGUGUCCCCAGCCAAAAUCAAGGUGCUAGUAGGGACCUGCCUUCUCUGCUGCUUUACAGAGAAUACUUAUUUCUUUGCCCCUCUGCUUCUCUAGGCUGCUAUUCUUGGAUAUGGGGCCACAUCAUGCCAGACUCCAAGGCUUGUACCAGCAAACCUAUCUUUUCUCCCAUGUGCUCCUGAUCAAUCAUUUCUGACCCAGUCUUGACCUCUGAACAUCAGGUUACUUCGUUUCUUCAUGUCUUCAAAAUACUUUUCUCAUUCAAGGGGAAGGUGAUGGCUGCUGAAGAAGUAACCGGUUUUUUAUUUGGAGUCUGUGAAACUUGAGAUUCUACUGAAAAGGAGAGGCUCAUGGAGAUGGGAAGCCAAGAAAAUGGCUUCCUUUAUCUGUCUGUCCUGCCUGUGCUUAGGAGUUGUGCCUUGCUGUUCCUGCUAAUUCUACACAAACCUCUUCAACAACGUGCUGUUGCUCAGUCUCUUCUACUCUUUGGCUCGUGAUAGCAGCUCACAAUUUGGUGGUGAUCCCAGACAUCAAACACUUCCAAGUGAUCUGACUACAGGACCCAUCUGUGGUAGGAUGUCUCCUAAUCUCUCAGGAAUGCUGGUUCUUUAAACCUGGCUGAGGACUCACUUGAGGAUGUUCAAGGAGGAAAGUGGGGCUUUAUAAGCCUAUUAAUUAGUCAGGCCAGAGCCCUAGCUGUGGUCUGACUGUCCCAGUGCCUUCUCAGGAGGCUUUGCAUAAAGCCCACAACUUUCCCCGGGCCUGGGUUUCUGAAGGAAAAGACCUGGAGUAACACACGGAUGUGUGAGGACACAGGUGUACAAACCCACCAGGGCACUUGUCUUCUCUGAAUGGUGUCAUGUAUUCAGGAUGCAAGAUGCCUGGGAACCACGGGGUCUCACUUCGAGAGGCUCACCUUCCUCCUCUAUGCCGAGGAUGGUUGUACUUGCCUUGUGAGCUGCUCAGACUGUAAGUGAAGAAUGUAGGAAAGGAACAUGCAUUAGUUAUCAAUAACAGCAUUAUCAGCAACAGCAAGGGUUCAGAAAACACCACCAGUCAUUGUCAGUGUUUCAAGGGGUAGCAGAUGUUAUAGAUAAUAAAGGAGAUCAUGCGACAGCUGCUUGUUUGCUAGGACUUUCAUCUUUAAGGACUUUAAAAUUUUUUCUUUAACAAACAAAAUAAAAACAAACAAAACAACACCCCAACCCCCCCAAAAAAAACCUGUCAGGAAUGGGGCAAUAAACCCUAACAUACUUUUCAAAAGACAUUAAAUAGCCAACAGUAUAGGAAAAGAGGCUCCUUUAAAAAAAAUCAACAGGGUAAUGCAAAUCAAACUCAGAAUGGCAACUCAGGCUCACAAAGGAUGGUUAUUAUCAGCUAUAACAAGUGCUGUGAGAUAUGGGGAAAAUGGGACCCCAUCCAAUGCCAGUGAGAAUGUAAAUUAGUACACUAGUGGUGGUGGGAAAGUAUAUGGAGCUUCUUCAAAACAAAACAAAAACAGAACUGUUUGGGAACCCAGUAGCCCUACUCUGCAGAUGCAGUCAAAGAAAAUGAAGGCGGUGUAGUGAGACGGCUACACUUCCAUUCACAGUGAGCACUAGACACAGAAGCCGAGAAAGGCAGAGAAACUCAACUGCUCUCGCCAACCCCAAUGGAUACAAAAAUACCAUGCACGCACACAGAGAGAUGCCAUUCAUCCGUAAAAAAGGAAGAAAUAGUGAUAUUUGUUCCAUAGCUGUAACUGGAGAUGACCGUAUGUAGUAAAUGAAACACUCCAGGCACAGAGAGACAAAGAGCAUGUGACUGCCUCACUCACUUGGAAUCCAGAUAGCGUUGAUCUCAUAGCAGUGCAGAGCAGAAGGGUAGCUGCGAGAGACUGAAGGGGAUGUGGACUGGUGAUGCAGUACUGAGCCACUUCUCGGCAGUAGCAUGAAGUUCUGCUGCUGCUGCGCGGUGAGGUGACCGCAGAUAAUGGCUCGUUUCACACAGCACGAGCUACCCGCCAGAAAAGGAUCUGAAAGUGUGAGCCAUGAUGCUUUCAAUCGAGGAAUGACUGAAGCAUCAUGUAAGGUACACCUGAAUCAAACAUCUUGAUAUUUCAUAAAUAUGUAUGUGUUAAUGUUUACGUUGUCAACAGAACCAUCUUGAGAAUGCUGUACAAUGAGCAGUACUAUGUAGUUUCUUUUGUUAAUAUGACUUCAGCCUGAAAGUAAGUCACCACAUUCCUCUUUAAUAAGGAAACUAUGAAGACAGACCUGGUCACAGUGCUGAGGGCAAGUGACUGAUGGGCAUUCAACCAUAAAUGGUACAUCAUCCCUCCAAGGCCCACAAGGAAGAAAGGUAGAAAGACUAAGAAGAGGGGGGUGGAGAGGUGUGCAUGGAAUUCAACCAUCCACCUGUGGCAUGGCCAUUGCAACCCCAAACACUUGUGGACACAGACACAAGAGUGGGCCCUCUGCACUGCCUCUUACACAGAGGGUCACCCAAAGGACUCACCCCUCCCUGAGGAGCUAUUGACUAUUACAUGUUGAUGGUUGCUACAGAAGGGAGUGGCAUCUUCUUGGAUGGUAUAGCCACUGGGGGCCUAGUUGAGAAGAAGGAGGAAAGGGGUAGGGGGUGUCGAAUACAGUCACACACAUUGUGUGUUAUGAAACUAUCAGAAUGGUUUUUAAAAGAAUGCUGCUGGUUUUUUGCUGCCAGCCUGGAGGAAUUAUGGUUUAGGUUUGGGGAAUUUGGAUAUUACUCCAGAAAUUGCUGAGGCAAUUAAUCAUUUCGAGGAUGUCUAAACAGUGCUCACCCAUCAGGCAAGGAGCCACGGCAGACCCACAGCCAAGGCCCAACACCAAGAAGAGAUGAGAUACUCUUUGGAAAUAUUUAUAGAAAUUU
This 3171-nucleotide small RNA is filed under the name Rattus norvegicus (Norway rat). RNAcentral's name for it is "uncharacterized LOC102555978". Lineage: Eukaryota; Metazoa; Chordata; Mammalia; Rodentia; Muridae. The record is from RNAcentral.